ACGUAGGGACCAAGCGUUGUUCGGAUUUACUGGGCGUAAAGGGCGCGUAGGCGGCGCGGUAAGUCACUUGUGAAAUCUCUGAGCUUAACUCAGAACGGCCAAGUGAUACUGCAGUGCUAGAGUGUGGAAGGGGCAAUCGGAAUUCUUGGUGUAGCGGUGAAAUGCGUAGAUAUCAAGAGGAACACCUGAGGUGAAGACGGGUCUCUGGGCCUUACCUGACGCUGAGGAGCGAAAGCAUGGGUAGCCAACAGGA
This 253-nucleotide ribosomal RNA is filed under the name uncultured prokaryote. RNAcentral's name for it is "partial 16S ribosomal RNA". It matches the Rfam family "Bacterial small subunit ribosomal RNA", at positions 525 to 777 of the family's 1533-position model. The record is from RNAcentral.